Molecule: ribosomal RNA, 303 nt
Filed under: uncultured bacterium
Lineage: Bacteria
Description: partial 16S ribosomal RNA
Rfam family: Bacterial small subunit ribosomal RNA
Source: RNAcentral
AGCAGUCGCCGCGGUAAUACGAAGGGUGCAAGCGUUACUCGGAAUUACUGGGCGUAAAGCGUGUGUAGGUGGUUGUUUAAGUCUGUCGUGAAAGCCCUUGGCUCAACCUGGGAAUUGCGAUGGAUACUGGGCGACUAGAGUGCGGUAGAGGAUAGUGGAAUUUCCGGUGUAGCAGUGAAAUGCGUAGAGAUCGGAAGGAACAUCUGUGGCGAAGGCGACUAUCUGGGCCAACACUGACACUGAGACACGAAAGCGUGGGGAGCAAACAGGAUUAGAUACCCGCGUAGUCCCUGUCUCUUAUAC